CCCAACCAGGUUUAGCAGGUUAGUUCAAUUUAGACCAAAAUAAUCUCAAAACUCUAGACCAAAAAUUUCAUACUCCCGCCUCCCGAGCUCAACUCCCUUCUUCUUCCCUCAGCUUUCCUGCGUCGCAAUCAAUGUAGCUUCCUCGUCGGUGGUUCUCGCCAGUCGCCAGUGGGUCCUCUUUUCUCGCCUCCUCGUCAGUCGCCCUAGGGCUGAACUUAGAAUAUUUUCAAUCUGAAAAUUUUUAAAGCCUGCUCAAAUUGACCUUCCCCCUUCUUCUUCUUCCCUCAGAUCUCCUCUACGGACCGGCAAACACCACACUCAGUGGUGGACGUGAGGGCAUACCCAGACGACCACACACACUUCUUUUUCUCUCUCCUCUCACCUAUACCGGAAAAAAAACCCUAGAAGUCAUGGGGCUGUUCCCGUGUUUCAAUUGCUCAAUAUUCUGUUCGUUCCAAAGUUAGCAAGUCAAGGAGGUUUCAGAAGAUUGGAGUUGGGGUUCCCAUCUGCUGCAAAAGAAAUACAUUGAUUGAUUUUGAGGAAAGAACAAGCGCAAAUGAGCUUGUAACUCGCCUAGUUUUUUAGCAAGGCAGCACCGAAGCAGCUGAAAAUGUAGCAGAUAUCAUGUCUACUUAUUUUGUUCAAGAAGUUAUCUCAGCAUGUGUACCUCAUGUUUAUCCUUCACGGUGUGGCCAUGGUUGGGCUUGUCUUCCAUUGGUUGCAUCCAGUGCCAAGAUUAGCCUUGCAAGUCAUUUACCGACAUCUUCUGCUAGAGGGACUUCUGCAAGUGAUGCCAACAGUUCCUUGGCUUCAGCUGGUAUUGCUCAGUACCAUCUUCAGUUAGACAUAAGAAAGCAUUUGGUCAAAAUUUCACCAGUUAGAGUUGUACUAGCAUGUAUCUUCGGAGCAGUAUAUUAUACAGUAGUAAUGAGUCAUCCAUCCUCAGUCCCUUGAAUGAAGAGCUGCUGCAUUCACCUGAUACUGACAGGAUAUUCUUUGAAUUCGCUCUUGAUCAGUCAAAGAGGUAUGCAAUGUUGUUGUAUACUUGUAUAUGUCACAAUAACUGACACAGUUUGUUUAGGCUUAAUAAUUGACUGUUUUUGUUUGCAGAUUUCGAACUUUGAACCGAUAGAUUCAGAUGCAGACUAAUCUUCACCGAGUUUCUGAGAUUGCUGUAACACCCAAGGAUACAGAUGAUGCUGGUGGGAUACAUAACAACAGGAAAUCAAUGAAAUUGCGAACAACAGAGAAUGCUUUUGAUUUUCGAAUGGAUCUAAGUGAUGAAAAAGUGAAAAUCCAUAAGUGAAUUGCGAACAACGAAGGUUAGUUGUAAUAUUUGAAUUUGGAGUUGUAUACUUGUAUUAGCGAUUUUAUGUUUUUAAUUUGAUAAUUUUAUUGCAUUUUGAUUUACAGAGAAUAUAUAUGGAAAAUUAAUAUGGUGAAGAACCCUAAUCCGCAAUUUAAUUGGUUACUGGAUUUGGAUUGAUUUUGGACAAAAUGGUUAGAUUUGGAUUCAGAUUUUGUUUAUUA
This is a long non-coding RNA of Spinacia oleracea (spinach), 1530 nucleotides long. RefSeq lists it as uncharacterized. NCBI's taxonomy places the organism in Eukaryota, Viridiplantae, Streptophyta, Magnoliopsida, Caryophyllales, Amaranthaceae. The record is from RefSeq and is a predicted model, not a curated record. The transcript is spliced from 2 exons.